ACUGACCCCAAUUCUUGGCAUUCAGAAACAUUCUCAGGAAGGUAUCGUGUUUACACGGUUUCUAGACACCCUGCUUGAAGAAUUACAUCUAAAGAAUGAAGACCUUGAAAGUUUAACCAUCAUAUUUAGAACCAGCUGUUUACCUGAGUGAUAUAUUCCAUGAAGACAAAAUAGAAGAUGAACUUCUAUUCACCGUUUCUGGAAUUCUAGCCACCAUUAUGGUCUGGUGGUGACUGAUAACUAGCUUUAUUCCAAGACAGACCUUUACCUCUUUAAGUUUCAGCCUCCCAUCUUCCAGUCCCUCAGUCUCCAACUGCAGACGAUGACCUCCCCAGAUAGAGGAGAAUCAUUACUCCAACAAGGAUAACCAAAUCUUUGCAUCCCUAGCUACAAGGCAUAGUAUUUUUAUUUGAAAAUGAAUGUUUAAGUAUUAAAUUGAAACUUGAAUGAAUAUUCAAGAAAAUAUAAUGAU
Long non-coding RNA from Rhinopithecus roxellana (golden snub-nosed monkey), 472 nucleotides. RefSeq lists it as uncharacterized. NCBI's taxonomy places the organism in Eukaryota, Metazoa, Chordata, Mammalia, Primates, Cercopithecidae. The transcript is spliced from 2 exons. The record is from RefSeq and is a predicted model, not a curated record.